CUAGUUUUUAAAUACAAUCUGUUCAAAUUACUUGCGUAAGUGUGCACGCCAUAGGUAGUGGUAAAGCUCGAACAUCGCCUACUUUCUUCCACAAUGACGUGUUAGGAGGAACACCAGCAAUUUCCUGGUAUAAAUUUGCAAGUUGUAACAUACCAUGUGCAACUUUAGAAAUUUUUAAUGAUGGAGCUGGUGGUGAAAGUUUCCAAAGAGGAUUUACAGCAUAAUUACGCGUAUCAGGUAAGGGUGCUGGAUGCUGAAACAAAUACAAUUAUAAACAUACAAGCAUAAACAUAAGUAGACAUAGAUAACUGCAUUAUUAAAACAAAACUGUUAAUUCAAAGUAUACCUUAUUUAACUGUACAUUAGAAGUAGCUGGAGUCGUCAAAAAUCGCACCGUUCCAUUUGCAAUAGUUGAUAUUCCUAUAAAUAACAUUGUAUUAUAUCUAUAUAUUAUUUAUAUUGAUGAUUUAAACUGAAACUACUUACCCGUUUUAUACGUUAAAGUUGGAAAUGAAGCUCUACACGAAGUCACGGGCCGUAUCUAUGAUUAGAAAUGUUUAUUAUAAAAUUGUAAACUAACUACAAAGCCUUAUUUUUCAACUUCAUUUUAUUAAAAAUAUAGCAAAAAAUAUUCAUUUUACCGGACUGGAAUUUGGUGUUAUUAAUAAUUGCCUUGUUGGCA
Bombus terrestris (buff-tailed bumblebee) is the source of this 682-nucleotide long non-coding RNA. RefSeq lists it as uncharacterized. NCBI's taxonomy places the organism in Eukaryota, Metazoa, Arthropoda, Insecta, Hymenoptera, Apidae. The transcript is spliced from 2 exons. The record is from RefSeq and is a predicted model, not a curated record.